UUGGGGGGAUGAUCCUGCUUCCAAGG
This 26-nucleotide non-coding RNA is filed under the name Mus musculus (house mouse). The record is from RNAcentral. Lineage: Eukaryota; Metazoa; Chordata; Mammalia; Rodentia; Muridae.